RNAcentral lists this ribosomal RNA (497 nucleotides) under uncultured bacterium. RNAcentral's name for it is "partial 16S ribosomal RNA". It matches the Rfam family "Bacterial small subunit ribosomal RNA", at positions 28 to 507 of the family's 1533-position model. The record is from RNAcentral.
GAUGAACGCUGGCGGCGUGCCUAAUACAUGCAAGUCGAGCGAACAGACGAGGAGCUUGCUCCUCUGACGUUAGCGGCGGACGGGUGAGUAACACGUGGAUAACCUACCUAUAAGACUGGGAUAACUUCGGGAAACCGGAGCUAAUACCGGAUAAUAUAUUGAACCGCAUGGUUCAAUAGUGAAAGACGGUUUUGCUGUCACUUAUAGAUGGAUCCGCGCCGCAUUAGCUAGUUGGUAAGGUAACGGCUUACCAAGGCGACGAUGCGUAGCCGACCUGAGAGGGGGACCGGCAACACGGGAAAGUAGACAGGGCCAAGACCACGAGGGGAGGCAGAGGGAGGGAAUUUUCGGAAAGGGGCGAAAGCCUGCCGGAGCAACGCCGGGGGAGGAAGGAGGGUUUUGGGAUCGAAAAACUUUUUUAUUGGGAAAAAAAAAAUGUGUAAGAACUUAUGCCCUUCUGGAGGGUACCUAAUCAGAAAGCCACGGCUAACUACGUG